RNAcentral lists this long non-coding RNA (1067 nucleotides) under Felis catus (domestic cat). RNAcentral describes it as "lncRNA (ENSFCAG00000049657.1)". The record is from RNAcentral. Lineage: Eukaryota; Metazoa; Chordata; Mammalia; Carnivora; Felidae.
CCUCAGGCCCUUUGCACCCACUCUUCUCCUUCCCACAAGGCUCUUUCUCCAGGUAUCCACAUGGGGCUCUAGCUCACUUCUUUCAAGUUUUUGCCCAUAUGGCACCUAUCCAUCCUGUUUAAAAUUACACCCCUUUCAUCCCAUCUCCUCUGUCCCCUCUCUAUCCAAAUCUCUGUUUUACUUGUCUCCACGGCAAAUCAUUUUCUGACCUGCUAUAUAUUUUAUUUUACUUCCUUAUCUUACUGAUUAUCUGCUGCCCCCCACCCCCACCCCAGAGAACGUAGGGACUUACAUCUGUUUUGUCUGCUGGUGGUCCCCAGUGCUUGGCAGUAAACUUUCAAUGUAAAGAAUGAAUCAGUGAAGGUUCUGUGAUGGGUCCCAAACUCAGACCUGCUUGUCCAGAGCCUGUGCUGCUGAGCCCCAGAGCUCCUGUGAUCUGCAUACACUCUUAGGAUGUGAGACCCUGUUUGCCAUGGAAGCUGGAGAGAGCCUUUCAGAGAGGCGAACCAAUCACAUGAACCCAAGGGAAAGGAGUCAGACCUGAUGGUUCCCUCUGGGAACCUUCGAAGUAUGCAAUUUUGAGGGAACCAUGAGUCCCAACCAAGCACUGACCCGCAUAAGCAGAAAUUGAUGACCUCAAACAUUUUCUCCAAGGCAGAAAAGGAGGGGCGCUGCUAAGGAUUUCCUCAGCCUUUCCUGGAAAGAUAACCAUCCUCUCUGGCAACGGAGCUAGCACAGAGCAAUUCCUCCCAGUUCCUGAUUUAGCCUUGUGUAACGGAUCCUGCCUGCACCACCCUCACCUCUGCCCCCCACCCUCUGCUGUUGGGAAGAGGCCAGAAACUUUGAGGAAACUGGCCAAACCUCCUGUUCCUUAAAGUCAAUUAAAAAAACAAAACAGGAUCUGAGGGCCAACUUGUGAAGUUUGUGACCCCUGGAGUCCUCCUCCCUGGUCUUCUUCCCAGAGCCUCAGGGGUCUCUAGAAUGCUUUUGGGUAAUUGGGGCCAUUCGUGUCAACCACAAGCACCGAAGUGCCAGUGACCGUGUGCCAGGCCUGUGUCAGUUGCCGC